This 478-nucleotide ribosomal RNA is filed under the name uncultured bacterium. RNAcentral's name for it is "partial 16S ribosomal RNA". It matches the Rfam family "Bacterial small subunit ribosomal RNA", at positions 28 to 507 of the family's 1533-position model. The record is from RNAcentral.
GAUGAACGCUGGCGGCGUGCUUAACACAUGCAAGUCGAACGGGAAAUAUUUCAUUGAGACUUCGGUGGAUUUGAUUUAUUUCUAGUGGCGGACGGGUGAGUAACACGUGGGUAACCUGCCUUAUACAGGGGGAUAACAGUCAGAAAUGGCUGCUAAUACCGCAUAAGCGCACAGAGCUGCAUGGCUCAGUGUGAAAAACUCUGGUGGUAUAAGAUGGACCCGCGUUGGAUUAGCUAGUUGGUGGGGUAACGGCCCACCAAGGCGACGAUCCAUAGCCGGCCUGAGAGGGUGAACGGCCACAUUGGGACUGAGACACGGCCCAGACUCCUACGGGAGGCAGCAGUGGGGAAUAUUGCACAAUGGGGGAAACCCUGAUGCAGCGACGCCGCGUGAAGGAAGAAGUAUCUCGGUAUGUAAACUUCUAUCAGCAGGGAAGAUAGUGACGGUACCUGACUAAGAAGCCCCGGCUAACUACGUG